This 506-nucleotide ribosomal RNA is filed under the name uncultured bacterium. RNAcentral describes it as "partial 16S ribosomal RNA". It matches the Rfam family "Bacterial small subunit ribosomal RNA", at positions 29 to 523 of the family's 1533-position model. The record is from RNAcentral.
AUUGAACGCUGGCGGCAGGCCUAACACAUGCAAGUCGAACGGUAGCACAGGAGAGCUUGCUCUCUGGGUGACGAGUGGCGGACGGGUGAGUAAUGCAUGGGGAGCUGCCCAAUCGAGGGGGAUACCAGCUGGAAACGGCUGCUAAUACCGCAUACGCCCUGAGGGGGAAAGGUGGGGACCUUCGGGCCUACCGCGAUUGGAUGCACCCAUGUGGGAUUAGCUAGUUGGUGAGGUAACGGCUCACCAAGGCGACGAUCUCUAGCUGGGCUGAGAGGAGGACCAGCCACGCAGGAACUGAGACACGGUCCAGACUCCCACGGGAGGCAGCAGUGGGGAAUAUUGCACAAUGGGGGAAACCCUGAUGCAGCCAUGCCGCGUGUGUGAAGAAGGCCUUCGGGUUGUAAAGCACUUUCAGUGGGGAGGAAGGGUUGAUGUCUAAUACGCAUCAGCAUUGACGUUACCCACAGAAGAAGCACCGGCUAACUCCGUGCCAGCCGCCGCCGUAA